RNAcentral lists this ribosomal RNA (503 nucleotides) under uncultured bacterium. RNAcentral describes it as "partial 16S ribosomal RNA". It matches the Rfam family "Bacterial small subunit ribosomal RNA", at positions 28 to 523 of the family's 1533-position model. The record is from RNAcentral.
GAUGAACGCUAGCGGCAGGCCUAACACAUGCAAGUCGAGGGGUAGCAGGAUUAAGCUUGCUUAAUUGCUGACGACCGGCGCACGGGUGCGUAACGCGUAUGCAACCUACCUUAUACUGGGGUAUAGCCCGGAGAAAUUUGGAUUAAUCCCCCAUAGUACUAAUGAAUCGCAUGGUUUAUUAGUUAAAGCAUUGCGGUAUAAGAUGGGCAUGCGUCCUAUUAGCUAGAUGGUGAGGUAACGGCUCACCAUGGCUACGAUAGGUAGGGGGCCUGAGAUGGUGGUCCCCCACACUGGGACUGGGACACGGACCAGACUCCUACGGGAGGCAGCAAGGAGUAAUAUUGGUCAAUGGGCGCAAGCCUGAACCAGCCAUGCCGCGUGCAGGAAGAAUGCCCUAUGGGUUAUAAACUGCUUUUAUUUGGGAAAAAACCUCUUUACGUGUAGAGAGCUGAAGGUACCAAAUGAAUAAGCACCGGCUAACUCCGUGCCAGCAGCCGCCGUAA